RNAcentral lists this long non-coding RNA (346 nucleotides) under Arabidopsis lyrata. RNAcentral describes it as "long non-coding RNA (ALYR_LNC000670)". Lineage: Eukaryota; Viridiplantae; Streptophyta; Magnoliopsida; Brassicales; Brassicaceae. The record is from RNAcentral.
GUUUUUUUAACGCACUUAACAAAUUCAGAACUAAAUAAUGAGAUUUGAUGCGUAUUUAAUUCUUAAUCAUGUUGCUGUAAUGAAAUCAUAUUCUUCAAGAAACAGAACAGUUUAUUCUUUAUUUGAUGCAUCAUAAGAAAAAGAAAGAACAUAACAGAAAGAACAGAACAGUUUUUAACUAAGACAGAUACUUAUACACGAAGUCACGAACACGUCCUUGUUUGGUUCUGACUUCUGAGUAACUAUGGAUCAACCGGAGGAUAUCCGCCGUAAGGUGGAGGUGUUAAGUGAUAUGAUGGCGGUGGAUACUUCUUAUAUGGUGGCGACGGAUACACAACCGGUGGAG